This 1568-nucleotide ribosomal RNA is filed under the name Hybobata sp. CNC 1178188. Its description in RNAcentral is "partial 28S ribosomal RNA". It matches the Rfam family "Eukaryotic large subunit ribosomal RNA", at positions 1093 to 3341 of the family's 3401-position model. The record is from RNAcentral. Lineage: Eukaryota; Metazoa; Arthropoda; Insecta; Diptera; Micropezidae.
UAUGAAGGUUAAGGUUAUGAUAUAAUGUGCCCAGUGGGCCACUUUUGGUAAGCAGAAUUGGCGCUGUGGGAUGAACCAAACGUAAUGUUACGGUGCCAAAAUUAACAACUCAUACAGAUACCAUGAAAGGCGUUGGUUGCUUAAAACAGCAGGACGGUGGACAUGGAAGUCGUAAUCCGCUAAGGAGUGUGUAACAACUCACCUGCCGAAGCAACUAGCCCUUAAAAUGGAUGGCGCUUAAGUUGUAUACCUAUACAUUACCGCUAAAGUAAAUGAUUUAUAUUCAAUUUCGAUUGGAUUUAAUAAAUUUUGAAACUUUAGUGAGUAGGAGGGUAUAAUGGUGUGCAUAGAAGUGUUUGGCGUAAGCCUGCAUGGAGCCGCCAUUAGUACAGAUCUUGGUGGUAGUAGCAAAUAAUCGAAUGAGAUCUUGGAGGACUGAAGUGGAGAAGGGUUUCGUGUGAACAGUGGUUGAUCACGAGUUAGUCGGUCCUAAGUUUAAUGCGAAAGCUGAAUAUUUUCAAAGUUUCAAUAUAUAUAUACAUAAAAUUAUUAUAAUAUUAAUAUACUUUGAAUUAUAUAAUUUAAACGAAAGGGAAUACGGUUCCAAUUCCGUAACCUGUUGAGUAUCCGUUUGUUAUUAAAAAUGGGCCAUUGUGCUCAUCCUGGUAACAGGAACGACCAUAAAGAAGCCGUCGAGAGAUAUCGGAAGAGUUUUCUUUUCUGUUUUAUAAUCGUACUACCAUGGAAGUCUUUCGAAGAGAGAUAUGGUAGAUGGAUUAGAAGAGCAUGACAUUUACUGUUGUGUCGAUAUUAUCUCCUCGGACCUUGAAAAUUUAUGGUGGGGUCACGCAAAUCUCUCAACAGGCCGUACCGAUAUCCGCAGCUGGUCUCCAAGGUGAAGAGUCUCUAGUCGAUAGAAUAAUGUAGGUAAGGGAAGUCUUUAAGGAGUUUUUAACAAGAGGUGUCAGAAAAGUUACCACAGGGGUAACUGGCUUGUGGCGGCCAAGCGUUCAUAGCGACGUCGCUUUUUGAUCCUUCGAUGUCGGCUCUCCCUAUCAUUGUGAAGCAAAAUUCACCAAGCGUUGGAUUGUUCACCCAUGCAAGGGAACGUGAGCUGGGUUUAGACCGUCGUGAGACAGGUUAGUUUUACCCUACUAAUGACAAUAUGUUAUUGCGACAGCAUUCCUGCGUAGUACGAGAGGAACCGCAGGUACGGACCAAUGGUACAAUACUUGUUCGAGCGAACAGUGGUAUGAUACUACGUCCGUUGGAUUAUGCCUGAACGCCUCUAAGGUCGUAUCCGCGCUGGACUGCAAUGAUAAAUAUGGGGCAAUUGCAUUGUAUGGCAUGUAAAUUAUUUUUUAAGUUUUAUAAGCAAUUAUAAAACGAUAGAUAAAUAAUUAAAUGUGACGCCAAUGUUAUAUGUAAUUUAGCUAAUGUAAGAGGAUUAAAUAUCACUUGCAUGUUACGCUUUCUUUUAAUUACACAUAUUUAAAACAUUAUUUAAUACAAUGACAAUGCCUAGAAUCAAUUGUAAACGACUUUGGUAACGGGCAAGGUGUUGUAAG